This 301-nucleotide ribosomal RNA is filed under the name uncultured bacterium. RNAcentral's name for it is "partial 16S ribosomal RNA". It matches the Rfam family "Bacterial small subunit ribosomal RNA", at positions 509 to 807 of the family's 1533-position model. The record is from RNAcentral.
CAGUCGCCGCGGUAAUACGUAGGGUGCGAGCGUUAAUCGGAAUUACUGGGCGUAAAGCGUGCGCAGGCGGUUGUGUAAGACAGGUGUGAAAUCCCCGGGCUUAACCUGGGAACUGCGCUUGUGACUGCACAGCUAGAGUAUGGCAGAGGGGGGUGGAAUUCCACGUGUAGCAGUGAAAUGCGUAGAGAUGUGGAGGAACACCGAUGGCGAAGGCAGCCCCCUGGGCCAAUACUGGCGCUCAUGCACGAAAGCGUGGGGAGCAAACAGGAUUAGAUACCCGUGUAGUCCCUGUCUCUUAUAC